GACGAACGCUGGCGGCGUGCCUAAUACAUGCAAGUUGAGCGAUGAAGAUUGGUGCUUGCACCAAUUUGAAGAGCAGCGAACGGGUGAGUAACGCGUGGGGAAUCUGCCUUUGAGCGGGGGACAACAUUUGGAAACGAAUGCUAAUACCGCAUAACAACUUUAAACAUAAGUUUUAAGUUUGAAAGAUGCAAUUGCAUCACUCAAAGAUGAUCCCGCGUUGUAUUAGCUAGUUGGUGAGGUAAAGGCUCACCAAAGCGAUGAUACAUAGCCGACCUGAGAGGGUGAUCGGCCAAAGUGGGAAUGAGACCAGGCCCAAACUCCUACGGGAGGCAGCAGUAGGGAAUCUUCGGCAAUGGACGAAAGUCUGACCGCGCAACGCCGCGUGGGUGAAGAAGGUUUUCGGAUCGUAAAACUCUGUUGGUAGAGAAGAACGUUGGUGAGAGUGGAAAGCUCAUCAAGUGACGGUAACUAAACAGAAAGGGACGGCUAACUACGUG
Molecule: ribosomal RNA, 497 nt
Filed under: uncultured bacterium
Lineage: Bacteria
Description: partial 16S ribosomal RNA
Rfam family: Bacterial small subunit ribosomal RNA
Source: RNAcentral